Molecule: ribosomal RNA, 468 nt
Filed under: uncultured bacterium
Lineage: Bacteria
Description: partial 16S ribosomal RNA
Rfam family: Bacterial small subunit ribosomal RNA
Source: RNAcentral
GACGAACGCUGGCGGCGUGCUUAACACAUGCAAGUCGAACGGAAAGGCCCUGCUUUUGUGGGGUGCUCGAGUGGCGAACGGGUGAGUAACACGUGAGUAACCUGCCCUUGACUUUGGGAUAACUUCAGGAAACUGGGGCUAAUACCGGAUAGGAGCUCCUGCUGCAUGGUGGGGGUUGGAAAGUUUCGGCGGUUGGGGAUGGACUCGCGGCUUAUCAGCUUGUUGGUGGGGUAGUGGCUUACCAAGGCUUUGACGGGUAGCUGGCCUGAGAGGGUGACCGGCCACAAUGGGACUGAGAUACGGCCCAGACUCCUACGGGAGGCAGCAGUGGGGAAUAUUGCACAAUGGGCGGAAGCCUGAUGCAGCAACGCCGCGUGCGGGAUGACGGCCUUCGGGUUGUAAACCGCUUUCGCCUGUGACGAAGCGUGAGUGACGGUAAUGGGUAAAGAAGCACCGGCUAACUACGUG